GUGGGGAAUAUUGGACAAUGGGGGGAACCCUGAUCCAGCCAUGCCGCGUGUGUGAAGAAGGCCUUUUGGUUGUAAAGCACUUUAAGCGAGGAGGAGGCUACCGAGAUUAAUACUCUUGGAUAGUGGACGUUACUCGCAGAAUAAGCACCGGCUAACUCUGUGCCAGCAGCCGCGGUAAUACAGAGGGUGCAAGCGUUAAUCGGAUUUACUGGUCGUAAAGCGCGCGUAGGUGGCCAAUUAAGUCAAAUGUGAAAUCCCCGAGCUUAACUUGGGAAUUGCAUUCGAUACUGGUUGGCUAGAGUAUGGGAGAGGAUGGUAGAAUUCCAGGUGUAGCGGUGAAAUGCGUAGAGAUCUGGAGGAAUACCGAUGGCGAAGGCAGCCAUCUGGCCUAAUACUGACACUGAGGUGCGAAAGCAUGGGGAGCAAACAGGAUUAGAAACCCGGGUAGUCC
RNAcentral lists this ribosomal RNA (451 nucleotides) under uncultured bacterium. RNAcentral's name for it is "partial 16S ribosomal RNA". It matches the Rfam family "Bacterial small subunit ribosomal RNA", at positions 354 to 796 of the family's 1533-position model. The record is from RNAcentral.